Molecule: long non-coding RNA, 206 nt
Organism: Zea mays
Lineage: Eukaryota; Viridiplantae; Streptophyta; Magnoliopsida; Poales; Poaceae
Exons: 4
Source: RefSeq, a predicted model, not a curated record
GAGGCUUACUUUUGCGAAAAAUGGAUCCUCAAAAGUUGGAGUCAGAUUUGAUAAACAGAUCCCUGGGGCCAUUGAUCUUGGAGGCAGUUGUGAGCUUGAUCAUGGCCUAUUCUGUUCAGUUGAUUCUCUAUGCCUCGAUGGUCCAGGAUGGGAAGAUAGAGCCAAACAUUCAUUUGAUGUUGUGUUUGAGUUUGCCUCUGAAGAAG